This 93-nucleotide transfer RNA is filed under the name Neurospora terricola FGSC 1889. Its description in RNAcentral is "tRNA-Und (NNN) (tRNA-Und-NNN-6-1)". Lineage: Eukaryota; Fungi; Ascomycota; Sordariomycetes; Sordariales; Sordariaceae. The record is from RNAcentral.
GUUCGAUUAGCUCAGGUGGGAGAGCGUUGUAGGUGUGUAUACUAAACAUGUACACACCUACGAAGGUCAGGAGUUCGAAUCUCCUAUCGGACA